UGGUGGGUAGUUUGACUGGGGCGGUCUCCUCCUAAAGAGUAACGGAGGAGCACGAAGGUUGGCUAAUCCUGGUCGGACAUCAGGAGGUUAGUGCAAUGGCAUAAGCCAGCUUGACUGCGAGCGUGACGGCGCGAGCAGGUGCGAAAGCAGGUCAUAGUGAUCCGGUGGUUCUGAAUGGAAGGGCCAUCGCUCAACGGAUAAAAGGUACUCCGGGGAUAACAGGCUGAUACCGCCCAAGAGUUCAUAUCGACGGCGGUGUUUGGCACCUCGAUGUCGGCUCAUCACAUCCUGGGGCUGAAGUAGGUCCCAAGGGUAUGGCUGUUCGCCAUUUAAAGUGGUACGCGAGCUGGGUUUAGAACGUCGUGAGACAGUUCGGUCCCUAUCUGCCGUGGGCGCUGGAGAACUGAGGGGGGCUGCUCCUAGUACGAGAGGACCGGAGUGGACGCAUCACUGGUGUUCGGGUUGUCAUGCCAAUGGCACUGCCCGGUAGCUAAAUGCGGAAGAGAUAAGUGCUGAAAGCAUCUAAGCACGAAACUUGCCCCGAGAUGAGUUCUCCCUGACUCCUUGAGAGUCCUGAAGGAACGUUGAAGACGACGACGUUGAUAGGCCGGGUGUGUAAGCGCAGCGAUGCGUUGAGCUAACCGGUACUAAUGAACCGUGAGGCU
This 665-nucleotide ribosomal RNA is filed under the name Escherichia coli. RNAcentral describes it as "partial 23S ribosomal RNA". It matches the Rfam family "Bacterial large subunit ribosomal RNA", at positions 2259 to 2925 of the family's 2925-position model. Lineage: Bacteria; Pseudomonadati; Pseudomonadota; Gammaproteobacteria; Enterobacterales; Enterobacteriaceae. The record is from RNAcentral.